AUAUUUAAUAAUAUUUAAUCAUUUUGUGCUGAUGCAUUUUAUCUUCUGUGAUAUUUUAUUAUUUUCUAAACUUUUGACACAUUAGCUUGUAGCAUCUCAUUAGCAAUGUCAGAAAACUGCCUAGAAUGUUUUUUAAAUGGAAUUCCUUUAAACACCCACUCUGAUGGAGAACGUUUUUGUGGGAUUUUUCAGAUAAUGAAAGAUAUUAUUGAAAUUCGAGCUUAAAAUUGCAUUUUUGAGUAUUGUUUAUUAAAAUUACUGAGAGUCAGGAACAGACGAGCAAAUAUUUGAAAAUAAACGUAGAGAAUACGCUGAGCUCCAUGCUCCGAACUCUCAGCAAUAGAGAGGGGAAGGGGGGCGGGAUUACUCGGUGCCAACAGACCUGCCCACAACUCAAAGGCAUUUUUCUAAUGCCGCUCUGCAGAAACUAUGUCCUACAAAAUUUUUUUUUUUUUUUUUUUUUUGAGCUGAAAAUGACAAAAUCAAAAUUCACAGACUACUUGGUUGGAGCUUUAAAGGGUUAAUAUACCUGAACUAUCACACCUUUCCUUCAAUCUGGAUUUAUUACAAUUGUUUUUAAAGGAAAACAUUCUAGAUUAUUGGAAAUCGUUGGCAGUGGUUUGCAGUUGUCAUAUUUGGUAAAGUUGUUCGGGGGUUUCAGACAAACCUUUUUUCAUUUCAUAACUACAAGAAUUCCAGUAAGUCUCAUGUUUUUCAGGCUUUAACACACAAAAAGGAACUCUCUGUUGCAUUUCUGCUCUGGGCUCAUAAAGAAUAGAUGCAGCUUAAUAUAUUUUUCAUCGGGCGGUUGUACUGUAAUUCCAUCAGCGGAGGCUUUACGUUUCCAGAAUGCAGAACACUGAAGGUUUGAGAGCUGGAGCUGCUCCAGUGGGAAGUAAUUGUAUUUUCUCUUGAUUUAUGAUGUUUGUACCUGAUCAAGUUCAAGAAAAAGAAGCGUAAACAUUAUUUCAAUGCCGAGACGAGAAGUUUUUAAGUCCAUCUGGAUCGUUGAAGGUGCGUUUGUCCGGCUGUAGAAUAGAAGCGGCUGCAUGAAAUUUUCAUGUGCCCUCGCUCGGAAGGGCAGGCGGAUCUGUUAGAGUGAGUCCUGUGGGACGUGCGGCUCGGCGUGACCCGCCAGCGUCCUUCACCAUAGCUGGACUCGGCCCCCGGGGUCCCCAGGCCGCAGCGUCCCGCUUUAUUCCACCUCCUGACACCGGCUCUGUGUGAUGAGCAUUGUAUCAGAGCCCAAACUGCUGCUGCAGAUGAAACCUUCAUUCAAAAACGGUUCACUGAACCGCAAGAAAUGAGCAACUUAGCCGUCCAUAUGUGGAAUAAAGAACAAGCUAGCGCAGGCUAAUGCUAAUUCUCAUUUAACAAUCAGAGGUUCUGCUCUUAGGGAUGUUAGUGAUGGAAAAACACAAGAAAAUAAGUGAAGUCUGUCCUUUUUUUACAUUUUACAACCAACUGUUGCUAAUUUGCAACAUACGACCAUUGACUGUAUAUGAGAACUGAACUGGGUAAGUGUGACAUCACUCAAUGAAAAUGUCUCCAGCCAAAUAAAGUCUAUUCAGUCAUAAGUUUACGUGAUACGGUUCUCAGUAAGCAGUGAUCGGUCCGAGUCAGUCUGAAUCAUCGUUUCUAUGGAAACCACUCUGGCCAAGCCCAGUGAGCUUGUUGGAAGUCCACAUCUAUACCGCUUGAUAGCAAGCUGCAGGAAAUUUGUCAGACAUUUUGAAUUUUUCUUGCAAGACCACGCACUUUUAAAGAGGCAUUUGAUUGGUCAGUUUAUAACUUUGAACAACUUGAACAACAGGAAAAAAAAGAGGAUUAUCAAGAAAAGAUGAAUCUGAGCAAGAAUGGUUAUUCUGACAGAUUGACUGUUUAAACGGAGUUUACAGGAUUUUGGCUUCUUGGAACCAGCAGGUACUUCCUGUUUGGAACACUAGGGGGGAGGGGUUGCUCAGUCCAGUUCUCAUACACAGUCAGUGCUCACUACUCAUGCGAGCGGUGACCAUUUUGUUUGGGUGUCUUAAACUAUUUCCCAGAAGUCUCUGCAAAAAA
Molecule: long non-coding RNA, 2061 nt
Organism: Oryzias melastigma (Indian medaka)
Lineage: Eukaryota; Metazoa; Chordata; Actinopteri; Beloniformes; Adrianichthyidae
Exons: 2
Source: RefSeq, a predicted model, not a curated record